Molecule: ribosomal RNA, 118 nt
Filed under: Lepisosteus oculatus (spotted gar)
Lineage: Eukaryota; Metazoa; Chordata; Actinopteri; Semionotiformes; Lepisosteidae
Source: RNAcentral
GCCAGCAGCCAUAUCACCCUGCAACUCACAACUGGCAGCCCACUGAAAAUCAACAGGUGUGAGCCUGGUCAGUACCUGGAUGGGAGACCUGCUGGGAAAGCUAAGGUUGCUGCUGGAG